AAGUGAGAAGCAAAAAUUGCAAUCAGUUUCGACCUGGUCUUUGAUAAUAAAUUAUCCUUACUUU
Molecule: transfer RNA, 64 nt
Filed under: Anoplotermes banksi
Lineage: Eukaryota; Metazoa; Arthropoda; Insecta; Blattodea; Termitidae
Description: tRNA-Arg
Source: RNAcentral